RNAcentral lists this transfer RNA (66 nucleotides) under Nesophrosyne kanawao. RNAcentral's name for it is "tRNA-Ala". Lineage: Eukaryota; Metazoa; Arthropoda; Insecta; Hemiptera; Cicadellidae. The record is from RNAcentral.
AGGGUUAUAUUUAAUUAUAAUAUUUGAAUUGCAAUCAAAAGGUAUCUUAACCUAAGAUUAACCUUU